RNAcentral lists this ribosomal RNA (400 nucleotides) under uncultured bacterium. RNAcentral describes it as "bacterial SSU rRNA". It matches the Rfam family "Bacterial small subunit ribosomal RNA", at positions 355 to 771 of the family's 1533-position model. The record is from RNAcentral.
UCACGAAUCUUCCUCAAUGGGCGAAAGCCUGAAGGAGCAAUGCCGCGUGAUCGAUGAAGCUCUUCGGAGUGUAAAGAUCUUUUAUCAGGGACGAAUUUUGACGGUACCUGAAGAAUAAGUCACUGCUAACUUCGUGCCAGCAGCAGCGGUAAUACGAAGGUGGCGAGCGUUACCCGGAUUGAUUGGGCGUAAAGAGUUCGUAGACGGUUUAAAAAGUUCUUGGUCAAAUCUUGAGGCUCAACUUCAAGACUGCUAAGAAGACUUUUAGACUAGAGACUGGAAGAGGCAAGCGGAAUUGCCGGUGUAGUAGUAAAAUGCGUUGAUAUCGGCAGGAACACCAAAAGCGAAGGCAGCUUGCUAGUACAGUUCUGACGUUCAGGAACGAAAGCGUGGGUAGCGA